GACGAACGCUGGCGGCGUGCUUAACACAUGCAAGUCGAACGGAAAGGCCCUGCUUUUGUGGGGUUCUCGAGUGGCGAACGGGUGAGUAACACGUGAGUAACCUGCCCUUGACUUUCGGAUAACUUCAGGAAACAGGGGCUCAUACCGGAUAGGAGCUCCUGCUGCAUGGUGGGGGUUGGAAAGUUUCGGCGGUUGGGGAUGGACUCGCGGCUUAUCAGCUUGUUGGUGGGGUAGUUGCAUACCAAGGCUUUGACGGGUAGCCGGCCUGAGAGGGUGACCGGCGACAAUGGUACUGAGAGACGCACCAGACGCCUACGGGACGCAGCAGGGGGGAACAUGGCACAGUGGGCGGAAGCCAGAUGCAGCAACGCCGCGUGCGGGAUGACGGCCUAUGGGUUGUAAACCGCUGUCGCCUGUAACGAAGCGGGAGUGACGGUAAUGGAUAAAGAAGCACCGGCUAACUACGUG
RNAcentral lists this ribosomal RNA (468 nucleotides) under uncultured bacterium. Its description in RNAcentral is "partial 16S ribosomal RNA". It matches the Rfam family "Bacterial small subunit ribosomal RNA", at positions 28 to 507 of the family's 1533-position model. The record is from RNAcentral.